Molecule: ribosomal RNA, 119 nt
Filed under: Salmo salar (Atlantic salmon)
Lineage: Eukaryota; Metazoa; Chordata; Actinopteri; Salmoniformes; Salmonidae
Source: RNAcentral
GCUUACGGCCAUACCAGCCUGGGUACGCCCGAUCUCGUCUGAUCUCGGAAGCUAAGCAGGGUCGGGCCUGGUUAGUACUUUGAUGGGAGACUGCCUGGGAAUACCAGGUGCUGUAAGCA